UUUUUUUUUUUGAGACAGUGUUUUGGUCUUGUUGCCCAGGCCGGAGUGCAGUGGUGUGAUCUUGGCUCACUGCAACCUCCACCUCCCGGGUUCAAGUGAUUCUCCUGCCUCAGCCUCCUGAGUAGCUGAGAUUACAGGCACACUCCACCACGCCCAGCUAAUUUUUUGUAUUUUUAGUAGAGACGAGGUUUCAUCAUGUUGGUCAGGCUGGUCUUGAACUCCUGACCUCAGGUGAUCCACCCACCUCGGCCUCCCAAAGUGCAGGGAUUACAGGCAUGAGCCACUGCACCUGGCCUAUACUUUUUAAUAAUCCUUUUUUUUGGCUGGGUGCAGCAGCUCAUGCCCAUAAUCCCAGCACUCUGGGAGGCCAAGGCAGGUGGACUGCUUGAGCUCAGGAGUAGGAGACCAGCCUGGGCAACAUGGUGAGACCCCAUCUCUACUAAAACUACAAAAAUUUGCUGGGCAUAGUGCUGUGCACCUGUGGUCCCAACUACUAGGGAGGCUGAGGUGGGAGGAUCACUUGAGCCCAGGAGGCGGAAGUUGCAGUGAGCUGAGAUGGUGCCACUGUACUCCAGCCUGGGUAACAAGAGUGAGAUCCUGUUUCAAAAAAUAAAAUAAAAUAAUAAUCCUUUGUUACGGUAAUUAACACUUCGAUCACUUUUUAUCCUGUAUUGAAAUUAUUUUGGCCGAGCACGGUGGAUCACGCCUGUAAUCCCAGCACUUUGGGAGGCUGAGGCAGGCGGAUGACCUGAGGUCAGGAGUUCAAGACCAGCCUGGCCAACAUGGUGAAACCCCAUCUCUACUAAAAAUACAAAAAUUAGCCAGGUGUGGUGACAGGUGCCUGUAGUUCCAGCUACUCAGGAGGCUGAGGCAGAAGAAUCGCUUGAACCCGAGAGGCAGAGGUUUCAGAUCAGGAGUGGGAGACCAGCCACUGCACUUCAGCCUGGGUGACAGAGCAAGACUCCGUCUCAAAAAAAAAAAAGAAAAAGAAAAGAAAUUAUUUUAGUAUGUCUAGUCUCUCCAACCAUAAACUUUAAAAACUCUUUAAGGGAGGCUGGGUACAGUGGCUCAUACCUGCAAUCCCAACACUUUGGGAGGCCAAGGCAAGGAUCACUCGAGCCCAGGAAUACAAGACCAGCCUACACAAUAUAGUGAGUCCCCGUCUCUACAGAAAAUAGAAAAAAACUAGCCAGGCAUAGUGGCACAUGCCUGUAGCCCCGGCUACUUGGGAGGCUGAGACAGGAGGAUUGAUUGAGCCUGGAAGGUCAAGGCUGCAGUAAGCCAUGAUUGCACCACUGCACUCCAGCCUGCGUGACAGAGAGAGACCCUGUCUCAAAAAAAAAAAGAAAAAACAAACAAAAAAAACAGCCAGGCGCGGCAGCUCAUGCCUAUAAUCCCAGCACUCUGGGAGGCCAAGGCAGGAGAAUCGCUUGAACCCAGGAGACAGAGGUUACAGUGAGCCGAGAUCACACCACUGCACUCCAGCCUGGAUGACAGAGUGAGAUUCUAUCUCAAAAAAAAAAAAAGUUCCUUAAGGGCAGGGUCCCAUGGUAUAACUCUGUGAUCCCUACAGCCUAACAUUACAGCAAACUUGCAAAUCCGAUAGAAGGGAUGGAAAGGAUACUCAAGGCAAAGCAGAGCCACUCGGCCUAUUCCCUAGAAAGGUUUUGGACAAAUUAUGGUGGAAAAGCCACUAGGAAUUCAGCAUUGUGCUGAAAACAACCCUCUUUGGUAGCCAUAUAUAUAAGUAAAAUAUGUAAUAUUACCUCCAGUUUAUAGUUGAGGAAACCAAAACUUGGCCAGGCGCGGUGGUUCACGCCUGUAAUCCCAGCACUUUGCGAGGCCGAGGCGGGUGGAUCACCUGAGGUCAGGAGUUUGAGACCAGCCUGGCCAACAUGGUGAAACCCUGUCUCUACUAAAAAUACAAAAAGUAGCCGGGUGUGGUGGCAGGCACCUGAGAUCAUGCCACUGCACUCCAGCCUGGGUGACAGAGUGAGACUCCAUCUC
This 2007-nucleotide long non-coding RNA is filed under the name Homo sapiens (human). Its description in RNAcentral is "HSALNT0001567". The record is from RNAcentral. Lineage: Eukaryota; Metazoa; Chordata; Mammalia; Primates; Hominidae.